AUUCCUUUACUUUACACAAUUGUUGGGUUAAGUUACGCAAAUUUCUGCGAUUGUUAACUUUUUAAAUAUUCAAAUAAUAAAUAUAUUUGAAGGAAUCGGACGUUCUACUGUAUCGUCGCACCUCAUAUUAGAUGUUUUUUCCAUCAUUGCAGUAAUGCUCACGGUAGAGUGUUUGAUUUACGCAAUAAAUUUCACAAGUGACUCAAUUGGAAGAUCCUUAAAAUUGUGGGGUACAUCCCGUCGCUUACGAUUUGCGGAGACGGAGAGUUUUCACAACAAAAAACCUACGUCAUUAUUUACCCAACAUGAGUUUUCCUAUUCAUGCGCAUAUCAAUGAAAUCUAUAUUAUCGUAAAGUCAAUUUCGUACAGCUGUCGUUUUAAUCUUUAGUUUAGAAAAAAGUAGCUAACUCUCUAGCAAGGAAAAUAAAUAUUGAGGUUUAUAACAUGAUUCAACCACUACAUUCGAAAAGCAAAUGAAAAAUUUACGACGGAAGCUAUCGCUCUUUUUUCAAUAAACAAACCCUUUCCUGAAUUGUUGACAAAGUUUAUUAUUAAUUACUAAUAAACAACUAUGAGAAAAGAUGGGGAAACUGCAAAUUAUGCCUAAUGACUGCCGAAUAUCAUGAUAUUACUUCCAUCUUUCCAUUCUGCCGUCUUCUUUUAAGUCUUUUACCUACCGAAUAAUACAUGAUCAAAAUCUUACUAAAAAUAAUGUCGU
This is a non-coding RNA of Schizosaccharomyces pombe (fission yeast), 719 nucleotides long. NCBI's taxonomy places the organism in Eukaryota, Fungi, Ascomycota, Schizosaccharomycetes, Schizosaccharomycetales, Schizosaccharomycetaceae. The record is from the annotation of a GenBank genome assembly.